This is a non-coding RNA of Camellia sinensis, 1663 nucleotides long. The record is from RefSeq and is a predicted model, not a curated record. Lineage: Eukaryota; Viridiplantae; Streptophyta; Magnoliopsida; Ericales; Theaceae.
UCAUCAUUUCUGCAGCAUUCGCAAUCUCCGACUCUCCAUUCAUAGUCGCUCACAAGAAGGCCACUCUCACAAAGCUCGAUUCCGGGGCCGAACAUGUCUCUGUCUCCAUCGACAUCUAUAACCGUGGAUCUGCCCAAGGGGCGCAGAGAAGAAGGCUCUGUUAGACAGUGGAGCUGUUUCGAUAGAACAAAGAACAAGAUUCUGAAUAGAGGGAGCCUGAGAGAUUAGAAAGAAAGAAAAAGCUACCAUUGAAGAGGUCUCCGUAGCUGAAGCAAUCCAAAACUUCAGCACUGUUUCCGUAAGGCGGACAACAUUCCGGAGAAUCGACGGGCAUCGGUUUUCGGAAUCCUACCUUCGUCUGCGGAAACCUCUCUACUCGCUUCCUCUCCACUCCUUCCAUCUUCCAGUUCGUUCAGGUUUAGCCCUAGAAAAAGAACAGCUCUCUAGCUUUUUGCCGUCCAUCUGUUCGACAAAAUGCCUCAGUGAACUCUGCUACUGAGAAGUGAUAAGAUGAUUAAGGAGAAAGAGAGAGAGAGACAGAGGGACAAAGAGAGAGGCAGAGAGGGCAGCAAGCUAUCAAUGAAGAAGGGCAAACAAGCUAAGAGUAAAUUAGCGAAGAGUAAAUCAAAAUGUAAAUUUGUUAAGUGCAAAUCAACCGAGGUCUCCUUGCAAGAGUUUGAUAAUCAGGUGGAUGUUCAAAUAUCUAUCGAUGAGAUGCCUGCUGUACUCUCCCGCAGGUCUACAUGCAUUCGAGGAGCCCCCAAAUUUCUCAUAUCUGGAGAUUUUGUGGGACCAUGGCAAGGGCCCUCGAAUGAAAACAAAAGGGGUUUAAGGGAUGUGGAAUCGGAGGAUAGCUCAAUUGAGUGUGAUUGUGUCGAUCUAUGUUUGUGUGGAAAUCUUGGUAUACCACGGUUGCAAUUGAAUGUGGAAAUGCAAGCUUCAACUGAGCAAUCAUCAAAGCAGCAUCAAACACCUAAUGCAUGGAACACACCAACUAGAGUCCUAAUUGAUCUUGAGCAGUGGCCAAAAUUGGCCAUUGUUUCCCCACUGGCGGCAAAUGAAAUGAUAAUGACAAAUAAACUUGGCUCACCUAGUGUUGAUCAAAGGAGAGAAGUAAUUGGCACCAAGCAACAUAAGAGUGUUGAAAAUGUGCAAGCUUGUAGAAAUGAGGAUUUGGUUGAACUACAUAUGGAAGACACACAAUCUGGCAAGAGUGAAUGUCUUGAUGGUGAUACAACUGCUAUAUCAGUGCUGCAUAUGAUGUCAAUUUUACUGAUAAUAGCUGGGCCCAAGAAGUCUUUGAGCUUGUUGGUGGCAACACUACCAAAACAUGGGAAAGACUUGUUGCAGUGAAAGCCAUGUAUUAUGGCACCCCUGCUGCCAUCACAUUCCGAAUCCCCAUGAAGUCCAAACUACAGGUUUGAUAUUUCAAAACGUGUCCGAUGGGUUAAUUUUUUAGAAUGUCAUGUCUCUAUCUUUGACUUGUUUGUUUGUUUGUUGUCUAUUUCUUGGACGCAUAUCCAACUCCAAUCCUACCACUGGAUAUCCUUGCUGAUAGAAUCCCAGCAAAGAAGUUAGAAUUGCACCUCAUGGCGGCUGAAUGCUAUUAGGUGAAGAGGUUUUUCGCUGAGUAUGGCUCCCUAAUUUCAGUCAUCUGCAUUGU